RNAcentral lists this ribosomal RNA (278 nucleotides) under Theridiosomatidae sp. TSMD-001-THAI. Its description in RNAcentral is "partial 12S ribosomal RNA". The record is from RNAcentral. Lineage: Eukaryota; Metazoa; Arthropoda; Arachnida; Araneae; Theridiosomatidae.
GGCGGCAUAAUAUUUUCUAGAGGAACUUGUUUUUUAAUCGAUAAUCCACGAUAAUUUUCACUUUUAUUAAAAAUUUAUAUACCACCGUUUAGAAUUAAUUUUAUAAUUUUAUUCUAAAUAAUUUUAUAAAAAAUCAGGUAAAGGUGUAAUUUAUAUAAAAGAUUUCAAUGAGUUACAUUAAAUUUUAUUUAAGAAAUUUUAAAAAAAUUUAUUAAGAAAAAGGAUUUAGAAGUAAUUCUCUACUAAUAUUUUAUACUGAAAAUAUUUUUAUUAUGUGU